GAUGAACGCUGGCGGCGUGCUUAACACAUGCAAGUCGAACGGAAACGCCCAAACUUGCUUGGGUACUCGAUUGGCGAACGGGUGAGUAACACGUAGGUGUCCUGCCCUGCUCUUCGGGAUAAGCCUGGGUAGGUGAGCCUAAUCUCGUACAGGACACUGGUUUCGAUGCCAUUCUGGAAAUCUUCUGCGGUGUGGGAUGUGCUCGGGGCGUUUCAGCUUUGUCGUGGGGGAAUGGCCUACCACGGCCUCGACGGGUAGCCGGCCUGAGAGGGUGUACGGCAACAUUGGGACUCAGAUACGGGGCAGACUCGGACGAGAGGCAGCAGUGGGGAAUAUUGCACAAUAGGCGCAAGGCUGAUGCAGAGACGCCGCGUGGGGGGUGAAGGCCUUCGGGUGGUAAACACCUGUCGCUAGUGACGAAGCGGUUUUGUGACGGUACCUGGAGAAGAAGCCCCGGCUAAAUACGUG
This 468-nucleotide ribosomal RNA is filed under the name uncultured bacterium. RNAcentral's name for it is "partial 16S ribosomal RNA". It matches the Rfam family "Bacterial small subunit ribosomal RNA", at positions 28 to 507 of the family's 1533-position model. The record is from RNAcentral.